CGUGUAGGCGGCCACCGCAAGUCGACUGUGAAAUCUCCGGGCUUAACUCGGAAAGGUCAGCCGAUGCUGCGGGGCUAGAGUGCGGAAGGGGCAACUGGAAUUCUCGGUGUAGCGGUGAAAUGCGUAGAUAUCGAGAGGAACACCUGCGGCGAAGGCGGGUUGCUGGGCUGACACUGACGCUGAAACGCGAAAGCUAGGGGAGCGAACG
RNAcentral lists this ribosomal RNA (208 nucleotides) under uncultured bacterium. RNAcentral's name for it is "partial 16S ribosomal RNA". It matches the Rfam family "Bacterial small subunit ribosomal RNA", at positions 568 to 774 of the family's 1533-position model. The record is from RNAcentral.